Molecule: long non-coding RNA, 1046 nt
Filed under: Callithrix jacchus (white-tufted-ear marmoset)
Lineage: Eukaryota; Metazoa; Chordata; Mammalia; Primates; Cebidae
Description: lncRNA (ENSCJAG00000072586.1)
Source: RNAcentral
UAGAGACGGGGUGACGCCAUAUUGGCCAGGCUAGUUUCUAACUCCUGGCCUCAAGUGAUACACCCACCUUGGCCUCUCAAAGCGCUGGAAUUAUAGGUGUGAGCCACUAUGCCUGUGUAAUGUCAGUAAUUUUUUAAGUAGAAUUGUUGAAAAUGAAACAAAAUUUUUAAAGAAACUCGUAUGAUUGAACUGAUCACCCCCCUGUAAGUUGCCAAUGAACUUAAUAUGUGUGUCUGGAUUCAAUAUAAUUACAUGGCUGUUUCAAUUUCUCAUACUUUGGAAGUAGGAAGGUACCUUUUUAGAUGUUCUUUUCUACCUUUCCCCAAAAUUGUCGCAGGACAUUUAACCCCAAGUGUUGCACAGUAAGUGAAGUCUGUUUCUUUGUCUUAUUUUACCCAGCAAAACAGCAGUUUCUUGUUUCCAGGUUCACCUCUGGAGUGGGACGUGACCAGGGAGGCUGGGGUCUAGCCUAGCCUGAGUCAUGGUAACCUUCUGGAGUCUCAGCAUCUUCCUUUAAAGUGCUGGUACAUCUCUGAGUUUCCUCAUAGCACUAACUUUUGCUAUAGUAACUAAGCGUGUGAGGCCAGUGAGUAAGUGCGGGGCUGGAAAUAGAGCUGUACUUGACAAAACUGUGGAGUUCAACAUUCUCACCCUGGCCCAUGUCCUGGUGUCUCCUUUCCAAGGUUGUUUCUGCAUCCAGGAGACCCACUAACUACACCUGUAGGUACCAUAGGCUGAUUCUCUGGUAUGCUCUUCUUUUUCAUCUCUCUCCUCUAGCAAAACCAGUUCUCCAGAGAGUAUUGGAUAGGAGUCAUUUACAAUGUAGUGUAUAUUCCUCAAUAGGUUCGCUUUCCCCAUGGCAAGGACACUUAAAAUCUCAUCUCUUAUCUGCAGGACUUCCUUUUUCUGAGAGCAGUGUCAAACAUCUAGGAGCAGGUGGAGAGGCAUCUUUCAGGAGCAGGAGAUUUUUCCUAUGUAUCACAUCUGGAAGGCAGAUACACACAGAGGCACAUUGGAAACACAGUAGAAAACGGCUGCCAAUUUAA